RNAcentral lists this ribosomal RNA (484 nucleotides) under uncultured bacterium. RNAcentral's name for it is "partial 16S ribosomal RNA". It matches the Rfam family "Bacterial small subunit ribosomal RNA", at positions 30 to 507 of the family's 1533-position model. The record is from RNAcentral.
AUUGAACGCUGGCGGCAGGCCUAACACAUGCAAGUCGAGCGGAUGAAGGGAGCUUGCUCCUGGAUUCAGCGGCGGACGGGUGAGUAAUGCCUAGGAAUCUGCCUGGUAGUGGGGGAUAACGUCCGGAAACGGGCGCUAAUACCGCAUACGUCCUGAGGGAGAAAGUGGGGGAUCUUCGGACCUCACGCUAUCAGAUGAGCCUAGGUCGGAUUAGCUAGUUGGUGGGGUAAAGGCCUACCAAGGCGACGAUCCGUAACUGGUCUGAGAGGAUGAUCAGCCACACUGGAACUGAGACACGGUCCAGACUCCUACGGGAGGCAGCAGUGGGGAAUGUUGGACAAUGGGCGAAAGCCUGAUCCAGCCAUGCCGCGUGUGUGAAGAAGGUCUUCGGAUUGUAAAGCACUUUUAGUUGGGAGGAAGGGCAGUAAGUUAAUACCUUGCUGUUUUGACGUUACCAACAGAAUAAGCACCGGCUAACUUCGUG